UACGGGGAGGCAGCAUGGGGAAUAUUGCACAAUGGGGGAAACCCUGAUGCAGCCAUGCCGCGUGUGUGAAGAAGGCCUUCGGGGUUGUAAAGCACUUUCAGUAGGGAGGAAGGUAGUGUAGUUAACACCUGCAUUAUUUGACGUUACCUACAGAAGAAGCACCGGCUAACUCCGUGCCAGCAGCCGCGGUAAUACGGAGGGUGCGAGCGUUAAUCGGAAUUACUGGGCGUAAAGCGCAUGCAGGCGGCCUGUUAAGUCAGAUGUGAAAGCCCGGGGCUUAACCUCGGAAUUGCAUUUGAAACUGGCAGGCUAGAGUCUUGUAGAGGGGGGUAGGAAUUUCAGGUGUAGCGGUGAAAUGCGUAGAGAUCUGAAGGAAUACCAGUGGCGAAGGCGGCCCCCCUGGACAAAGACUGACGCUCAGAUGCGAAAGCGUGGGGAGCAAACAGGAUUAGAUACCCCUGGUAG
This 465-nucleotide ribosomal RNA is filed under the name uncultured bacterium. RNAcentral's name for it is "bacterial SSU rRNA". It matches the Rfam family "Bacterial small subunit ribosomal RNA", at positions 340 to 793 of the family's 1533-position model. The record is from RNAcentral.